Molecule: ribosomal RNA, 456 nt
Filed under: uncultured soil bacterium
Lineage: Bacteria
Description: bacterial SSU rRNA
Rfam family: Bacterial small subunit ribosomal RNA
Source: RNAcentral
AGGACGAACGCUGGCGGCGUGCUUAACACAUGCAAGUCGAGCGGAAAGGCCUUUCGGGGUACUCGAGCGGCGAACGGGUGAGUAACACGUGAGUAAUCUGCCCAUCGCUUCAGGAUAGCCAUCGGAAACGGUGAUUAAUACUGGAUAUGACAUUCCUUCGCAUGUUGGGGUGUGGAAAGUUUUUUCGGCGGUGGAUGUGCUCGCGGCCUAUCAGCUUGUUGGUGGGGUAAUGGCCUACCAAGGCUUUGACGGGUAGCCGGCCUGAGAGGGUGACCGGCCACACUGGGACUGAGACACGGCCCAGACUCCUACGGGAGGCAGCAGUGGGAAUAUGGACAAUGGGCGAAGCCUGAUCCAGCAACGCCGCGUGAGGAUGACGGCCUUCGGUUGUAAACCUCUUUCAGCACAGACGAAGUUUUGUCGUUUUUUGGUGUAAGUGACGGUAUGUGCGAGAAG